GUAUAAAUAAUGAUCAGUACGUUAAUGCACCGUGCUCAGAUUUGAAGCCUUUCUUCUGUUACUCAGUCGUCAUGGGACAGAGGCAGAUGAUCAGAAUUAAGGUCGUGUCAGAUCAGGAUGUGGACGAUCCUGCAGUAAAAGCAGCGACGUUGGAGAAGAUCCAGCAGAUGCUGAAGGAACAUGGGAUGGGUGAGAGCAUCUCUCUGAAAUGGAAGGAGAACCCAGAUGGAAAGGUGUUUCACAAAAUAAAAAGU
Molecule: long non-coding RNA, 254 nt
Organism: Trichomycterus rosablanca
Lineage: Eukaryota; Metazoa; Chordata; Actinopteri; Siluriformes; Trichomycteridae
Exons: 3
Source: RefSeq, a predicted model, not a curated record